AAGAAGUUAGUUAAAAUAUAACAUUAGUAUGUCAUACUAAUAUUAUUAGAAUUUAUCUAAUACAUCUUU
Molecule: transfer RNA, 69 nt
Filed under: Sinomantis denticulata
Lineage: Eukaryota; Metazoa; Arthropoda; Insecta; Mantodea; Nanomantidae
Description: tRNA-Asp
Source: RNAcentral